GUAGGGAAUCUUCCACAAUGGACGAAAGUCUGAUGGAGCAACGCCGCGUGAGUGAAGAAGGUCUUCGGAUCGUAAAACUCUGUUGUUAGAGAAGAACGUGCAUGAUAGUAACUGAUCAUGUAAUGACGGUAUCUAACCAGAAAGCCACGGCUAACUACGUGCCAGCAGCCGCGGUAAUACGUAGGUGGCAAGCGUUGUCCGGAUUUAUUGGGCGUAAAGGGAACGCAGGCGGUUUUUUAAGUCUGAUGUGAAAGCCUUCGGCUUAACCGAAGAAUAGCAUUGGAAACUGGAAGACUUGAGUGCAGAAGAGGAGAGUGGAAUUCCAUGUGUAGCGGUGAAAUGCAUAGAUAUCACGCAGAACUCCGAUUGCGAAGGCAGCUUACUAAGCUACAACUGACACUGAAGCACGAAAGCGUGGGGAUCAAACAGGAUUAGAAACCCGGGUAGUCC
This 450-nucleotide ribosomal RNA is filed under the name uncultured bacterium. RNAcentral describes it as "partial 16S ribosomal RNA". It matches the Rfam family "Bacterial small subunit ribosomal RNA", at positions 354 to 796 of the family's 1533-position model. The record is from RNAcentral.